AGUCGAACGGCAGCACGGGGGCAACCCUGGUGGCGAGUGGCGAACGGGUGAGUAAUACAUCGGAACGUGUCCUGUAGUGGGGGAUAGCCCGGCGAAAGCCGGAUUAAUACCGCAUACGCUCUACGGAGGAAAGGGGGGGAUCUUCGGACCUCCCGCUAGAGGGGCGGCCGAUGGCAGAUUAGCUGGUUGGUGGGGUAAAGGCCUACCAAGGCGACGAUCUGUAGCUGGUCUGAGAGGACGACCAGCCACACUGGGACUGAGACACGGCCCAGACUCCUACGGGAGGCAGCAGUGGGGAAUUUUGGACAAUGGGGGCAACCCUGAUCCAGCAAUGCCGCGUGUGUGAAGAAGGCCUUCGGGUUGUAAAGCACUUUUGUCCGGAAAGAAAGCCGCUGGGUUAAUACCCCGGGGGGAUGACGGUACCGGAAGAAUAAGCACCGGCUAACUACGUGCCAGCAGCCGCGGUAAUACGUAGGGUGCAAGCGUUAAUCGGAAUUACUGGGCGUAAAGCGUGCGCAGGCGGUUCGCUAAGACCGAUGUGAAAUCCCCGGGCUUAACCUGGGAACUGCAUUGGUGACUGGCGGGCUAGAGUAUGGCAGAGGGGGGUAGAAUUCCACGUGUAGCAGUGAAAUGCGUAGAGAUGUGGAGGAAUACCGAUGGCGAAGGCAGCCCCCUGGGCCAAUACUGACGCUCAUGCACGAAAGCGUGGGGAGCAAACAGGAUAGAUACCCUGUAGUCCACGCCCUAAACGAUGUCACUGGUUGUCGGGUCUUCAUUGACUGUAACGUACUAACGCGUGAAGUUGACCGCUGGGGAGUACGGUCGCAAGAUUAAAACUCAAAGGAA
RNAcentral lists this ribosomal RNA (846 nucleotides) under uncultured Burkholderia sp. Its description in RNAcentral is "bacterial SSU rRNA". It matches the Rfam family "Bacterial small subunit ribosomal RNA", at positions 60 to 909 of the family's 1533-position model. Lineage: Bacteria; Pseudomonadati; Pseudomonadota; Betaproteobacteria; Burkholderiales; Burkholderiaceae. The record is from RNAcentral.